CACAUGCAAGUCGAACGGUAACAGGAAGCAGCUUGCUGCUUCGCUGACGAGUGGCGGACGGGUGAGUAAUGUCUGGGAAACUGCCUGAUGGAGGGGGAUAACUACUGGAAACGGUGGCUAAUACCGCAUAACGUCGCAAGACCAAAGAGGGGGACCUUCGGGCCUCUUGCCAUCAGAUGUGCCCAGAUGGGAUUAGCUAGUUGGUGAGGUAACGGCUCACCAAGGCGACGAUCCCUAGCUGGUCUGAGAGGAUGACCAGCCACACUGGAACUGAGACACGGUCCAGACUCCUACGGGAGGCAGCAGUGGGGAAUAUUGCACAAUGGGCGCAAGCCUGAUGCAGCCAUGCCGCGUGUAUGAAGAAGGCCUUCGGGUUGUAAAGUACUUUCAGCGGGGAGGAAGGUGUUGUGGUUAAUAACCGCAGCAAUUGACGUUACCCGCAGAAGAAGCACCGGCUAACUCCGUGCCAGCAGCCGCGGUAAUACGGAGGGUGCAAGCGUUAAUCGGAAUUACUGGGCGUAAAGCGCACGCAGGCGGUCUGUCAAGUCGGAUGUGAAAUCCCCGGGCUCAACCUGGGAACUGCAUUCGAAACUGGCAGGCUUGAGUCUUGUAGAGGGGGGUAGAAUUCCAGGUGUAGCGGUGAAAUGCGUAGAGAUCUGGAGGAAUACCGGUGGCGAAGGCGGCCCCCUGGACAAAGACUGACGCUCAGGUGCGAAAGCGUGGGGAGCAAACAGGAUUAGAUACCCUGGUAGUCCACGCCGUAAACGAUGUCUACUUGGAGGUUGUGCCCUUGAGGCGUGGCUUCCGGAGCUAACGCGUUAAGUAGACCGCCUGGGGAGUACGGCCGCAAGGUUAAAACUCAAAUGAAUUGACGGGGGCCCGCACAAGCGGUGGAGCAUGUGGUUUAAUUCGAUGCAACGCGAAGAACCUUACCUGGUCUUGACAUCCACAGAACUUUCCAGAGAUGGAUUGGUGCCUUCGGGAACUGUGAGACAGGUGCUGCAUGGCUGUCGUCAGCUCGUGUUGUGAAAUGUUGGGUUAAGUCCCGCAACGAGCGCAACCCUUAUCCUUUGUUGCCAGCGGUCCGGCCGGGAACUCAAAGGAGACUGCCAGUGAUAAACUGGAGGAAGGUGGGGAUGACGUCAAGUCAUCAUGGCCCUUACGACCAGGGCUACACACGUGCUACAAUGGCGCAUACAAAGAGAAGCGACCUCGCGAGAGCAAGCGGACCUCAUAAAGUGCGUCGUAGUCCGGAUUGGAGUCUGCAACUCGACUCCAUGAAGUCGGAAUCGCUAGUAAUCGUGGAUCAGAAUGCCACGGUGAAUACGUUCCCGGGCCUUGUACACACCGCCCGUCACACCAUGGGAGUGGGUUGCAAAAGAAGUAGGUAGCUUAACCUUCGGGAGGGCGCUUACCACUUUGUGAUUCAUGACUGGGGUGAAGUCGUAACAAGGUAACCGUAGGGGAACCUGCGGUUGGA
This 1480-nucleotide ribosomal RNA is filed under the name Salmonella enterica subsp. enterica serovar Muenchen. RNAcentral describes it as "bacterial SSU rRNA". It matches the Rfam family "Bacterial small subunit ribosomal RNA". The record is from RNAcentral. Lineage: Bacteria; Pseudomonadati; Pseudomonadota; Gammaproteobacteria; Enterobacterales; Enterobacteriaceae.